This 253-nucleotide ribosomal RNA is filed under the name uncultured bacterium. RNAcentral's name for it is "partial 16S ribosomal RNA". It matches the Rfam family "Bacterial small subunit ribosomal RNA", at positions 524 to 776 of the family's 1533-position model. The record is from RNAcentral.
UACGUAGGGGGCAAGCGUUGUCCGGAAUCAUUGGGCGUAAAGCGCGUGUAGGCGGCUCGGUAAGUCCGUUCUGAAAGUCCAGGGCUCAACCCUGGGAUGCGGAUGGAUACUGUCGAGCUCGAGUCCGGAAGAGGCGAGUGGAAUUCCUGGUGUAGCGGUGAAAUGCGCAGAUAUCUGGAGGAACACCGGUGGCGAAGGCGGCAUUCUGGACCGACAUUGACGCUGAGGAGCGAAAGCCAGGGGAGCAAACGGG